GACGAACGCUGGCGACGUGCCUAAUACAUGCAAGUCGAACGAACGGAGGAAGAGCUUGCUCUUCCAAAGUUAGUGGCGGACGGGUGAGUAACACGUGGGCAACCUGCCUGUAAGUUGGGGAUAACUCCGGGAAACCGGGGCUAAUACCGAAUGAUAAAGUGUGGCGCAUGCCACGCUUUUGAAAGAUGGUUUCGGCUAUCGCUUACAGAUGGGCCCGCGGUGCACUAGCUAGUUGGUAGGGUAAUGGCCUACCAAGGCAACGAUGCAUAGCCGACCUGAGAGGGUGAUCGGCCACACUGGGACUGAGACACGGCCCAGACUCCAACGGGAGGCAGCAGUAGGGAAUCUUCCGCAAUGGACGAAAGUCUGACGGAGCAACGCCGCGCGUAUGAAGAAGGUUUUCGGAUCGUAAAGCUCUGUUGUUAGAGAAGAACGUUGGUAGGAGUGGAAAAUCUACCAAGUGACGGUAACUAACCAGAAAGGGACGGCUAACUACGUGCCAGCAGCCGCGGUAAUACGUAGGUCCCGAGCGUUGUCCGGAUUUAUUGGGCGUAAAGCGAGCGCAGGCGGUUCUUUAAGUCUGAAGUUAAAGGCAGUGGCUUAACCAUUGUACGCUUUGGAAACUGGAGGACUUGAGUGCAGAAGGGGAGAGUGGAAUUCCAUGUGUAGCGGUGAAAUGCGUAGAUAUAUGGAGGAACACCGGUGGCGAAAGCGGCUCUCUGGUCUGUAACUGACGCUGAGGCUCGAAAGCGUGGGGAGCAAACAGGAUUAGAUACCCUGGUAGUCCACGCCGUAAACGAUGAGUGCUAGGUGCUAGGCCCUUUCCGGGGCUUAGUGCCGCAGCUAACGCAUUAAGCACUCCGCCUGGGGAGUACGACCGCAAGGUUGAAACUCAAAGGAAUUGACGGGGGCCCGCACAAGCGGUGGAGCAUGUGGUUUAAUUCGAAGCAACGCGAAGAACCUUACCAGGUCUUGACAUCCUUCUGACCGGCCUAGAGAUAGGCUUUCUCUUCGGAGCAGAAGUGACGGGUGGUGCAUGGUUGUCGUCAGCUCGUGUCGUGAGAUGUUGGGUUAAGUCCCGCAACGAGCGCAACCCCUAUUGUUAGUUGCCAUCAUUAAGUUGGGCACUCUAGCGAGACUGCCGGUAAUAAACCGGAGGAAGGUGGGGAUGACGUCAAAUCAUCAUGCCCCUUAUGACCUGGGCUACACACGUGCUACAAUGGUUGGUACAACGAGUCGCAAGCCGGUGACGGCAAGCUAAUCUCUUAAAGCCAAUCUCAGUUCGGAUUGUAGGCUGCAACUCGCCUACAUGAAGUCGGAAUCGCUAGUAAUCGCGGAUCAGCACGCCGCGGUGAAUACGUUCCCGGGCCU
Molecule: ribosomal RNA, 1371 nt
Filed under: uncultured bacterium
Lineage: Bacteria
Description: partial 16S ribosomal RNA
Rfam family: Bacterial small subunit ribosomal RNA
Source: RNAcentral